This 1687-nucleotide long non-coding RNA is filed under the name Glycine max (soybean). RNAcentral describes it as "long non-coding RNA (GMAX_LNC000004)". Lineage: Eukaryota; Viridiplantae; Streptophyta; Magnoliopsida; Fabales; Fabaceae. The record is from RNAcentral.
UGAAAUAUUAUUAAAAUUUAGUAGAGAAAUUCCUACGAUUUGAUGCCUUAGAUCCACCUAUUCAAUAAGCUGGUCUUGGUCUAGUCUUGUUUUCAAAAACAUAGAUUCCCUCCAACUUACAAGUAAUCUUUGCAAGAACAACACAUGGCCUAGCUGAGAGCCUUGACAAUUUUACCAAUUACGGGUGGUAAAGUGGGCUAGCCUGGUCAGUUUUGGUUUGCCACACCACUAGCCCGCCAAAAACGGGUCAUGCACGGGCUGACCCGCCUUUUAAUAGUGGGUUGAAAAUCUUGACUUACUCCGGUUAGAGGUGGACUCGCAUGUUAGUGAGUUGGUCUGCCAGAAAUAAAAAGAAAAAAGAAAGUAUUAUUAUCUUAUUUCAUAAAAUUAACCCAAAUGAACAAAUUUAGUUAGAGAAUGUAAAGUAUAUCAAUUGUUUAUCCUAUAUUUGAUUUUAAUAUAAAUUUUUCUAUAGGUAUUGGAGAAAUUGAAUUUAUAAAAAAUAUUAAAAAAAUAACAAAAAUGUAUUUUGAUUUUUGAACAACACUAUAAACUUUUAAAAAAAUACAAAGUGACAACCCAAAGCCUAAAUACCUAUUAGUAUUUAUAUAUUUUUCUUAAAAAUAUAUGUAUGGCAAGCCGGCAUGCCAACCUGCCUCACCUUGUUGUUGGCAUGUCGGGUUGGCAGGUUAGGCGGCAUGGGGACAAUGUGGGCUGUCAAGUUGACCUUUUCUCUCCGAUAGCCUCACCACUAUUGUCUUUUACCACUCAAUUUCACCUUAUGAGUUCUUAAACAAUAAUCUUUAAGGAUGGUUCCAUUCAACAAGAAACAAUAGAGAAUGGUGAUAUGAUAAUUGAUGCGUAAAAUAUGUUAGGUUUGCACAAGGAAAAAUGUACCCUACGUCAUUGUGGACUUGAAAGUCUGAAUAUCGAACUCAAAGGAUUUAGUUGUUUCCAAAUUAGUCAAGUUUAUUAAAUUAAAGUAGAGAUGAUUAAACAUAAUAUUUCAAUAUUUUAUGGUUUUUAUUUUUAUAAGAAAACAAAUAAACGAAUAUAAAGAGAGGUUUGAGUGAUGAUAAGAAUGAUAAGGAGUUAUGACUCAAUAGUACCAAUUUUCUCUCAAUCCUAAUCCUAAUGAAAUUUCUUUCCCAGGUAAUUACCGAUUUCCAAAAUCAAUUAAAGCUUAUGAUCAAAGUUAGAAGAUAUUCUUUGUCUUAAAUCAAUACCCCAAUGAUAGUGGAUCUAUCACUUUUAAGUCAAAUGAUAAAUUCAAUUCUAUGAUGAUUAAUUAAAGAUUAACUAAUCUAUCAGAGAUUAUCCAAAUAGUUUGAUCUUACAAUUUGGUGCAAAACAUUAUCUACCUAGACCUACCAAUUACAUGCAGAUUGAGUAUUAGAAUGAUUGGUUCCAAAUAAAUAGUAAAAUAAGGAAGAAAGUUGAUUAACAAAAAAAAUGGAAUUACAUUAAGAAUAAGGAGAAUUAAUAGUUACAUCAUAACCUCGGACUAGGGGACUAGCCGCUCAUGAUUAGAGCAACACUAACAAUCCUAUAUAAAAUAAAUAUAAACAUACCAAUAGGCAAGAACGAUUGUCACAAUCCAUCCUAGUGGUGUUAUCCAUGCUUUUCAGAUCUCAAAAGCUCUGAAGGUUCUCUCAAAUUCAAAAAAAGAAAAGAAAAGAAUAAAACU